AAAAACAUCGCCUUGUGAUAAAAUAUACAAGGUCCAGCCUGCCCAGUGAGUUAUUUUAACGGCCGCGGUACCCUAACCGUGCAAAGGUAGCGCAAUCACUUGUUCUUUAAAUAGGGACUAGUAUGAACGGCAUCACGAGGGUUAUUCUGUCUCCCUCUUUUAAUCAGUGAAACUGAUCUCCCCGUGAAGAAGCGAGGAUAUUAUUAUAAGACGAGAAGACCCCAUGGAGCUUCAAACUCAGAAACACCAGCUACUUUUUAAACCAAAUUAAUUGGCUUCCAUGAUUUCUAGUUUUCGGUUGGGGUGACCAUGGAGUACAACACAACCUCCUUGAUGAACGGAACUAUUUUCCUUAUUUAAGAACUACAGUUCUAAAAAUCAACAUAUUGACAAAAAUUGAUCCAAAUUUUUUUGAUCAACGAACCAAGUUACCCUGGGGAUAACAGCGCAAUCCAUUUCAAGAGCUCAUAUCGACAAAUGGGUUUACGACCUCGAUGUUGGAUCAGGGUAUCCCAGUGGUGCAGCCGCUACUAAAGGUUCGUUUGUUCAACGAUUAAAACCCUACGUGAUCUGAG
This 575-nucleotide ribosomal RNA is filed under the name Kalophrynus pleurostigma. RNAcentral's name for it is "partial 16S ribosomal RNA". It matches the Rfam family "Bacterial large subunit ribosomal RNA", at positions 1809 to 2609 of the family's 2925-position model. Lineage: Eukaryota; Metazoa; Chordata; Amphibia; Anura; Microhylidae. The record is from RNAcentral.